Molecule: ribosomal RNA, 424 nt
Filed under: uncultured prokaryote
Description: bacterial SSU rRNA
Rfam family: Bacterial small subunit ribosomal RNA
Source: RNAcentral
UGGGGAAUAUUGCACAAUGGGCGCAAGCCUGAUGCAGCCAUGCCGCGUGAGUGAAGAAGGCCUUAGGGUUGUAAAACUCUUUCACCGGUGAAGAUAAUGACGGUAGCCGGAGAAGAAGCGCCGGCCAACUCCGUGCCAGCAGCCGCGGUAAUACGAAAGGGGCUAGCGUUGUUCGGAAUUACUGGGCGUAAAGCGCACGUAGGCGGCCUUGUAAGUUGGGGGUGAAAUCCCGGAGCUCAACUCCGGAACUGCCUCCAAAACUACAAAGCUAGAGGAUGCGAGAGGAUAGUGGAAUUCCGAGUGUAGAGGUGACAUUCGUAGAUAUUCGGAAGAACACCAGUGGCGAAGGCGACUGUCUGGCGCAUAUCUGACGCUGAGGUGCGAAAGCGUGGGGAGCAAACAGGAUUAGAUACCCCUGUAGUCC